This 411-nucleotide ribosomal RNA is filed under the name uncultured Oscillospiraceae bacterium. RNAcentral describes it as "bacterial SSU rRNA". It matches the Rfam family "Bacterial small subunit ribosomal RNA", at positions 341 to 766 of the family's 1533-position model. Lineage: Bacteria; Bacillati; Bacillota; Clostridia; Eubacteriales; Oscillospiraceae. The record is from RNAcentral.
ACGGAAGGCAGCAGUGGGGAAUAUUGGGCAAUGGGCGCAAGCCUGACCCAGCAACGCCGCGUGAAGGAAGAAGGCUUUCGGGUUGUAAACUUCUUUUACCAGGGACGAAGGACGUGACGGUACCUGGAGAAAAAGCCACGGCUAACUACGUGCCAGCAGCCGCGGUAAUACGUAGGUGGCAAGCGUUGUCCGGAUUUACUGGGUGUAAAGGGCGUGUAGGCGGAGCUGCAAGUCAGAUGUGAAAUCCCGGGGCUCACCCCCGGAACUGCAUUUGAACCUGUAGCCCUUGAAUAUCGGAGAGGCAAGCGGAAUUCCUAGUGUAGCGGUGAAAUGCGUAGAUAUUAGGAGGAACACCAGUGGCGAAGGCGGCUUGCUGGACGACAACUGACGCUGAGGCGCGAAAGCGUGGGG